GAUGAACGCUGGCGGCGUGCCUAACACAUGCAAGUCGAGCGAACAGAUGAGGAGCUUGUUCGUUUGACGAUAGCGGAGGACGGGUGAGUAACGCGUGGAUAACCUACUUAUAUUACUGGGAUCAUCACGGGAAACCGGAGAUAAUACCGGAUGAUAUAUUGAACCGCAUGGUUCAAUGGAGAGUGUCGGUUUUGGUGUCACUACUAGAUGGUUACGCGCCGCAUUAGCUAGUUGGUAAGGUCACGGCUUACCAAGGCUACGAUGCGUAGCCGACGGGAGAGGGGGAUCGGCCACCUGGGAAGUGAGACACGGUCCAGACGCCUAAGGGAGGGAGCAGUAGUGAAUCGGCCGCAAUGGGCGAAAGCCUUACGGAGCAACGGCGCGUGAGUGAUGAAGGUGCUCGGAGCGUAAAGCUCUGCUAUUGGGGAAGAACAGAUGUGGCAGUAACUAAACACGUAGUGACGGUACCGAAUCAGGAAGCCACGGCUAACUACGUG
This 497-nucleotide ribosomal RNA is filed under the name uncultured bacterium. Its description in RNAcentral is "partial 16S ribosomal RNA". It matches the Rfam family "Bacterial small subunit ribosomal RNA", at positions 28 to 507 of the family's 1533-position model. The record is from RNAcentral.